UGGGGGAUAUUGCACAAUGGGCGAAAGCCUGAUGCAGCGACGCCGCGUGGGGGAUGAAGGCCUUCGGGUUGUAAACUUCUUUUGCUCUGAACAAGGCAUGCCUUUGGGGUGUGUUGAGUGUAGGGGUUGAUUAGCGCCGGCUAACUACGUGCCAGCAGCCGCGGUAAUACGUAGGGCGCGAGCGUUGUCCGGUAUUAUUGGGCGUAAAGGGCUUGUAGGUGGCUGGUUGCGUCUGUCGUGAAAGCUCAUGGCUUAACUGUGGGUUUGCGGUGGGUACGGGCUGGCUUGAGUGCAGUAGGGGAGGCUGGAAUUCCUGGUGUAGCGGUGGAAUGCGCAGAUAUCAGGAGGAAUACCGGUGGCGAAGGCGGGUCUCUGGGCUGUUACUGACGCUGAGGAGCGAAAGCGUGGGGAGCGAACAGG
This 420-nucleotide ribosomal RNA is filed under the name Fusobacteriota bacterium. RNAcentral describes it as "Fusobacteria bacterium partial 16S ribosomal RNA". It matches the Rfam family "Bacterial small subunit ribosomal RNA", at positions 355 to 776 of the family's 1533-position model. The record is from RNAcentral. Lineage: Bacteria; Fusobacteriati; Fusobacteriota.